UGUUUAUAUGUUUCUUUUGGUUUUGUAUUGGUUACUGUUUAUGUGUUUCUUUUGGUUCUGUUGUAUCAUUUACUGCUUCUUUGUGAUUAUCCCUGUUUUAAAGAAAUGUUAAUGUAGAUUUACACACAUAGGGAACAGACCCAUAUCUUUUUCUCCCCUUUUUUUUG
Molecule: long non-coding RNA, 167 nt
Organism: Corapipo altera (White-ruffed manakin)
Lineage: Eukaryota; Metazoa; Chordata; Aves; Passeriformes; Pipridae
Exons: 3
Source: RefSeq, a predicted model, not a curated record